This is a long non-coding RNA of Octopus sinensis (East Asian common octopus), 217 nucleotides long. RefSeq lists it as uncharacterized. NCBI's taxonomy places the organism in Eukaryota, Metazoa, Mollusca, Cephalopoda, Octopoda, Octopodidae. The record is from RefSeq and is a predicted model, not a curated record. The transcript has 2 exons.
AACAAGGAUGGCAUUGAAAUGAAUUGUGUGUUCUGUUAGAUACACACAAAGAAAUUUUAAGUUUUGAAUUUAAAUGUCUUAUGUUGGUUAAUCACGAUUUAGCAGCCAACAUAAUCAAAGGUGACCAUGUGAAUGGCUGUAUGUGGAAUUACGUGAGCUGGUUGAUUAUUGCAAUAAUUGUAAGCUGCUAAAUUUUGUACUGUGGAAGAUAGAUAUU